ACCUCGGUGGUGUAGUGGUAGCACACUUCCUCGGUAUGGAUGAAACGCGGGUUCGAUUCCCGUCCGAGGUC
Parelaphostrongylus tenuis is the source of this 71-nucleotide non-coding RNA. The record is from the annotation of a GenBank genome assembly. NCBI's taxonomy places the organism in Eukaryota, Metazoa, Nematoda, Chromadorea, Rhabditida, Metastrongylidae.